UUUUACUGCCAAAGGUAUAUAGAUUUAUUGUUCUAUCCCAUGUUCUUUUCUUACAUUCAGAACUAGGCUUCUAGGUUGUCCUUAUUUAAAAGUCCAUAAGUACAAGCUCAUUAGUACAGGCAUGACACAUUGACAGAACUGAUUUCAUUCAGCCUACUAAAUUCAGGCAUGGAUCAAGAGCUGGCUAAUCAGGGGAAAUUUAAAGAACUUAAAGUUCUUCUAGGUAGCUAACAGUUAAGAACUAAAGGAUUGCAUCCACAGUAGUAAAAUAAGCAAAGUCCAGACCUUUAUAGAAUCUUCCAACUGGCAACCAAUCCUGCUUGAGGAGAGCUGCAAGGGUAGAAGAACGAAAUGGAGGGGAUUCAUUCAGUUUUGAUUGUAAACAUAAAGAUGGGUCCAUUUCUGGUUGUUUGAGUUGGACUAGGGAGGCUGGAAUAGAAGUAACAUAGAGGUGGCAGAUCGAGCUGAUGAAGGACAUUCAGAUGUUUAGGAACCAGUUGACAGAUGUUUCAGGUUCGGAGAGGAGUUCAGACGUCUUCUAACAGAGCCUCAAUCUCCAGCAACCAUUGCUCCUAACUUCUUUAUGAACUUUAGCUUCGAUAACACAGUUGUUGAAUAGAAUAGUACAAUAGUUGUUGAUGAUUCUGCUUUCUUUAAACGGCACUGUUUUUACUAAUUAAAUGCCACGACAGUAGAGUGACGCCCUUUCAUUAAUUUGAUAGUUUUCGGUUGAUAGCUGUUGGUCCUUUCCA
This is a long non-coding RNA of Quercus robur (English oak), 752 nucleotides long. RefSeq lists it as uncharacterized. The record is from RefSeq and is a predicted model, not a curated record. NCBI's taxonomy places the organism in Eukaryota, Viridiplantae, Streptophyta, Magnoliopsida, Fagales, Fagaceae. The transcript has 3 exons.